GGGUUGUGAGGUUAAGCGACUAAGCGUACACGGUGGAUGCCCUGGCAGUCAGAGGCGAUGAAGGGCGUGCUAAUCUGCGAUAAGCGCCGGUAAGGUGAUAUGAACCGUUAUAACCGGCGAUACCCGAAUGGGGAAACCCAGUGUGACUCGUCACACUAUCAUUAACUGAAUCCAUAGGUUAAUGAGGCGAACCGGGGGAACUGAAACAUCUAAGUACCCCGAGGAAAAGAAAUCAACCGAGAUUCCCCCAGUAGCGGCGAGCGAACGGGGAGGAGCCCAGAGCCUGAAUCAGCAUGUGUGUUAGUGGAAGCGUCUGGAAAGGCGCGCGAUACAGGGUGACAGCCCCGUACACAAAAGCGCAUGUGCUGUGAGCUCGAUGAGUAGGGCGGGACACGUGGUAUCCUGUCUGAAUAUGGGGGACCAUCCUCCAAGGCUAAAUACUCCUGACUGACCGAUAGUGAACCAGUACCGUGAGGGAAAGGCGAAAAGAACCCCGGCGAGGGGAGUGAAAAAGAACCUGAAACCGUGUACGUACAAGCAGUGGGAGCACCCUUUGGGUGUGACUGCGUACCUUUUGUAUAAUGGGUCAGCGACUUAUAUUCUGUAGCAAGGUUAACCGAAUAGGGGAGCCGGAGGGAAACCGAGUCUUAACCGGGCGUUAAGUUGCAGGGUAUAGACCCGAAACCCGGUGAUCUAGCCAUGGGCAGGUUGAAGGUUGGGUAACACUAACUGGAGGACCGAACCGACUAAUGUUGAAAAAUUAGCGGAUGACCUGUGGCUGGGGGUGAAAGGCCAAUCAAACCGGGAGAUAGCUGGUUCUCCCCGAAAGCUAUUUAGGUAGCGCCUCGUGAAUUCAUCUCCGGGGGUAGAGCACUGUUUCGGCUAGGGGGCCAUCCCGGCUUACCAACCCGAUGCAAACUGCGAAUACCGGAGAAUGUUAUCACGGGAGACACACGGCGGGUGCUAACGUCCGUCGUGAAGAGGGAAACAACCCAGACCGCCAGCUAAGGUCCCAAAGUCAUGGUUAAGUGGGAAACGAUGUGGGAAGGCCCAGACAGCCAGGAUGUUGGCUUAGAAGCAGCCAUCAUUUAAAGAAAGCGUAAUAGCUCACUGGUCGAGUCGGCCUGCGCGGAAGAUGUAACGGGGCUAAACCAUGCACCGAAGCUGCGGCAGCGACACUGUGUGUUGUUGGGUAGGGGAGCGUUCUGUAAGCCUGCGAAGGUGGCCUGUGAGGGUUGCUGGAGGUAUCAGAAGUGCGAAUGCUGACAUAAGUAACGAUAAAGCGGGUGAAAAGCCCGCUCGCCGGAAGACCAAGGGUUCCUGUCCAACGUUAAUCGGGGCAGGGUGAGUCGACCCCUAAGGCGAGGCCGAAAGGCGUAGUCGAUGGGAAACGGGUUAAUAUUCCCGUACUUGGUGUUACUGCGAAGGGGGGACGGAGAAGGCUAUGUUGGCCGGGCGACGGUUGUCCCGGUUUAAGCGUGUAGGUGUGUGUUCCAGGUAAAUCCGGUUCACUUUAACACUGAGGCGUGACGACGAGGCACUACGGUGCUGAAGCAACAAAUGCCCUGCUUCCAGGAAAAGCCUCUAAGCAUCAGGUAACAUCAAAUCGUACCCCAAACCGACACAGGUGGUCAGGUAGAGAAUACCAAGGCGCUUGAGAGAACUCGGGUGAAGGAACUAGGCAAAAUGGUGCCGUAACUUCGGGAGAAGGCACGCUGACACGUAGGUGAAGUGAUUUACUCAUGGAGCUGAAGUCAGUCGAAGAUACCAGCUGGCUGCAACUGUUUAUUAAAAACACAGCACUGUGCAAACACGAAAGUGGACGUAUACGGUGUGACGCCUGCCCGGUGCCGGAAGGUUAAUUGAUGGGGUCAGCGCAAGCGAAGCUCCUGAUCGAAGCCCCGGUAAACGGCGGCCGUAACUAUAACGGUCCUAAGGUAGCGAAAUUCCUUGUCGGGUAAGUUCCGACCUGCACGAAUGGCGUAAUGAUGGCCAGGCUGUCUCCACCCGAGACUCAGUGAAAUUGAACUCGCUGUGAAGAUGCAGUGUACCCGCGGCAAGACGGAAAGACCCCGUGAACCUUUACUAUAGCUUGACACUGAACAUUGAGCCUUGAUGUGUAGGAUAGGUGGGAGGCUUUGAAGUGUGGACGCCAGUCUGCAUGGAGCCGACCUUGAAAUACCACCCUUUAAUGUUUGAUGUUCUAACGUGGACCCGUUACCCGGGUUGCGGACAGUGUCUGGUGGGUAGUUUGACUGGGGCGGUCUCCUCCUAAAGAGUAACGGAGGAGCACGAAGGUUGGCUAAUCCUGGUCGGACAUCAGGAGGUUAGUGCAAUGGCAUAAGCCAGCUUGACUGCGAGCGUGACGGCGCGAGCAGGUGCGAAAGCAGGUCAUAGUGAUCCGGUGGUUCUGAAUGGAAGGGCCAUCGCUCAACGGAUAAAAGGUACUCCGGGGAUAACAGGCUGAUACCGCCCAAGAGUUCAUAUCGACGGCGGUGUUUGGCACCUCGAUGUCGGCUCAUCACAUCCUGGGGCUGAAGUAGGUCCCAAGGGUAUGGCUGUUCGCCAUUUAAAGUGGUACGCGAGCUGGGUUUAGAACGUCGUGAGACAGUUCGGUCCCUAUCUGCCGUGGGCGCUGGAGAACUGAGGGGGGCUGCUCCUAGUACGAGAGGACCGGAGUGGACGCAUCACUGGUGUUCGGGUUGUCAUGCCAAUGGCACUGCCCGGUAGCUAAAUGCGGAAGAGAUAAGUGCUGAAAGCAUCUAAGCACGAAACUUGCCCCGAGAUGAGUUCUCCCUGAGACUUAAAGUCUCCUGAAGGAACGUUGAAGACGACGACGUUGAUAGGCCGGGUGUGUAAGCGCAGCGAUGCGUUGAGCUAACCGGUACUAAUGAACCGUGAGGCUUAACCUUACAACGCCGAAG
Molecule: ribosomal RNA, 2924 nt
Filed under: Salmonella enterica subsp. enterica serovar Enteritidis
Lineage: Bacteria; Pseudomonadati; Pseudomonadota; Gammaproteobacteria; Enterobacterales; Enterobacteriaceae
Description: 23S ribosomal RNA
Rfam family: Bacterial large subunit ribosomal RNA
Source: RNAcentral